This 343-nucleotide unclassified non-coding RNA is filed under the name soil metagenome. Its description in RNAcentral is "partial contains 5.8S ribosomal RNA, internal transcribed spacer 2, and large subunit ribosomal RNA". The stretch from base 1 to 120 matches the Rfam family "5.8S ribosomal RNA", at positions 35 to 154 of the family's 154-position model. The record is from RNAcentral.
GAUGAAGAACGCAGCGAAAUGCGAUAAGUAAUGUGAAUUGCAGAAUUCAGUGAAUCAUCGAAUCUUUGAACGCACAUUGCGCCCGCUAGUAUUCUGGCGGGCAUGCCUGUCCGAGCGUCAUUUCAACCCUCAAGCCCCCGGGUUUGGUGUUGGGGAUCGGCGAGCCUCCGCGCCCGCCGUCCCCUAAAUCUAGUGGCGGUCUCGCUGUAGCUUCCUCUGCGUAGUAGCACACCUCGCACUGGGAAACAGCGCGGCCACGCCGUUAAACCCCCAACUUCUGAACGUUUGACCUCGGAUCAGGUAGGAAUACCCGCUGAACUUAAGCAUAUCAAUAAGCGGAGGA